GCCGAGGUAGCUCAGCCUGGUAGAGCACCUGACUGAAAAUCAGGGAGUCGGCGGUCCAAAUCCGCCCCUCGGCACCU
RNAcentral lists this transfer RNA (77 nucleotides) under Chloroflexota bacterium. Its description in RNAcentral is "Chloroflexi bacterium (hot springs metagenome) tRNA-Phe". It matches the Rfam family "tRNA". From Rfam's summary of the family: Transfer RNA (tRNA) molecules are approximately 80 nucleotides in length. Their secondary structure includes four short double-helical elements and three loops (D, anti-codon, and T loops). The record is from RNAcentral. Lineage: Bacteria; Bacillati; Chloroflexota.